RNAcentral lists this ribosomal RNA (542 nucleotides) under uncultured bacterium. RNAcentral describes it as "bacterial SSU rRNA". It matches the Rfam family "Bacterial small subunit ribosomal RNA", at positions 777 to 1319 of the family's 1533-position model. The record is from RNAcentral.
AAUAGAUACCCGGGUAGUCCACGCCGUAAACGAUGAGUGCUAAGUGUUAGGGGGUUUCCGCCCCUUAGUGCUGCAGCUAACGCAUUAAGCACUCCGCCUGGGGAGUACGGUCGCAAGACUGAAACUCAAAGGAAUUGACGGGGGCCCGCACAAGCGGUGGAGCAUGUGGUUUAAUUCGAAGCAACGCGAAGAACCUUACCAGGUCUUGACAUCCCAUUGACCGCUAUGGAGACAUAGCUUUCCCUUCGGGGACAGUGGUGACAGGUGGUGCAUGGUUGUCGUCAGCUCGUGUCGUGAGAUGUUGGGUUAAGUCCCGCAACGAGCGCAACCCUUGUUCUUAGUUGCCAUCAUUUAGUUGGGCACUCUAAGGAGACUGCCGGUGACAAACCGGAGGAAGGUGGGGAUGACGUCAAAUCAUCAUGCCCCUUAUGACCUGGGCUACACACGUGCUACAAUGGACGGUACAAACGGUUGCCAACCCGCGAGGGGAGCUAAUCCGAUAAACCGUUCUCAGUUCGGAUUGUAGGCUGCAACUCGCCUAC